This 253-nucleotide ribosomal RNA is filed under the name uncultured bacterium. RNAcentral describes it as "partial 16S ribosomal RNA". It matches the Rfam family "Bacterial small subunit ribosomal RNA", at positions 524 to 776 of the family's 1533-position model. The record is from RNAcentral.
UACGUAGGGUGCGAGCGUUAUUCGGAAUUACUGGGCGUAAAGCGUGCGCAGGCGGUUUUGUAAGUCAGAUGUGAAAGCCCCGGGCUUAACCUGGGAAUGGCAUUUGGGACUGCAAGGCUUGAGUGCGGCAGAGGAGACUGGAAUUCCUGGUGUAGCAGUGAAAUGCGUAGAUAUCAGGAGGAAUACCGAUGGCGAAGGCAGGUCUCUGGGCUGACACUGACGCUCAUGCACGAAAGCGUGGGGAGCAAACAGG